RNAcentral lists this ribosomal RNA (390 nucleotides) under Triticum aestivum (bread wheat). RNAcentral describes it as "partial small subunit ribosomal RNA". The record is from RNAcentral. Lineage: Eukaryota; Viridiplantae; Streptophyta; Magnoliopsida; Poales; Poaceae.
AUGCCCCUAGUCAACAAGCUUCUCCGCAAGCUGGCUACAUGGAAGUCCGCUCUUCUUACGCGUGGUGAGCGCUUGGCUUUGGUCCGGCAUGUGUUAUCUGCCAUGCCCGUGCACAUCUUACUCGCCAUGGCUCUUUCUCCUCCAAUCCUCAAGAAGGUCAACAGAAUCAUCCGGGAUUUCCUGUGGCACGGACGCAAAGACACGCGUGCGGGUUCUUGUCUUGUAAGUUGGGCGCGAGUCUGCCGACCCAUUGAGCUCGGAGGGCUUGGCAUACGGGACUUGCACCGCACGGGUAUUUCUCUCCGUGUCCGGCGGCUCUGGGUGCAGGCCACGGAUCGCAGUCGCCCUUGGUCUCACCUCCAGCUUCCUCAGGAUGCCGAGGUCGCCUAG